This 447-nucleotide ribosomal RNA is filed under the name uncultured soil bacterium. Its description in RNAcentral is "bacterial SSU rRNA". It matches the Rfam family "Bacterial small subunit ribosomal RNA", at positions 26 to 518 of the family's 1533-position model. The record is from RNAcentral.
AGAACGAACGCUGGCGGCAUGCCUAACACAUGCAAGUCGAACGAGACCUUCGGGUCUAGUGGCGCACGGGUGCGUAACGCGUGGGAACCUGCCCUUAGGUUCGGAAUAACUCAGAGAAAUUUGAGCUAAUACCGGAUAAUGUCUUCGGACCAAAGAUUUAUCGCCUAUGGAUGGGCCCGCGUAGGAUUAGCUUGUUGGUGGGGUAAUGGCCUACCAAGGCGACGAUCCUUAGCUGGUCUGAGAGGAUGAUCAGCCACACUGGGACUGAGACACGGCCCAGACUCCUACGGGAGGCAGCAGUGGGGAAUAUUGGACAAUGGGCGAAAGCCUGAUCCAGCAAUGCCGCGUGAGUGAUGAAGGCCUUAGGGUUGUAAAGCUCUUUUUACCCGGGAUGAUAAUGACAGUACCGGAGAAUAAGCUCCGGCUAACGUACGUGCCAGCAGCCGC